This 64-nucleotide transfer RNA is filed under the name Penthimia melanocephala. RNAcentral's name for it is "tRNA-Arg". The record is from RNAcentral. Lineage: Eukaryota; Metazoa; Arthropoda; Insecta; Hemiptera; Cicadellidae.
AACAUUGAAGUAAAAAUUACAUAUAGUUUCGACCUAUAAAUUAAAGAAAACUUCUUUCAUGUUU